This 571-nucleotide ribosomal RNA is filed under the name Physalacria bambusae. Its description in RNAcentral is "SSU rRNA". It matches the Rfam family "Bacterial small subunit ribosomal RNA", at positions 359 to 926 of the family's 1533-position model. The record is from RNAcentral. Lineage: Eukaryota; Fungi; Basidiomycota; Agaricomycetes; Agaricales; Physalacriaceae.
AGAUAUUAGUCAUUGCUCGAAAGAGUGACUAGGUAACUGAAUCAAUCUAGCCUCACUUAAGGUUAAUAUUUUAUUAACUGUGAUGUUAGAGUGAUAACGUAAGGGAAAAUAUAUGAUAUUACCUUACUAUUAGUGUUGUCCAAAACUGGUGCCAGAAGACUCGGUAAGGCCAGAAACGCAAACGUUAAUCUUAAUGACCAGGCGUAAAGGGUUCGUAGGCAGCUUUAUAAUAAAAAAUUUAAUUAGCUAAAUAAAUAUAAUAUUUAUUUUAAAUUUUUAUAUUAAAAGAUAUAAUCAAAUAUAGGUUUAGCCGAUAAAUGCUUAGAGUAAGGGUCAUAUCUAUAGAUACUAAGUAGAGUUCUAAUGGCGAAAGCUAUUUUUCCAUUAAUGAUUGAAGCUGAGGAACGAAGGUUUGAACAGAAAAUAGGAUUUGGUACCCACUUAUCUCUUACUGUCAACUAUGAAUGGUAGAAAUUAGUUGUGAUAACUAGUUUCAAUACUAACGUGUAACCAUUCCGCCUUGAGAGUACGGUCGCAAGGCUGAAACCAAAAAAAUUAGUCGGUCAAGAAC